This 72-nucleotide transfer RNA is filed under the name Amphibalanus amphitrite. RNAcentral's name for it is "tRNA-Thr". It matches the Rfam family "tRNA". Rfam says of the family: Transfer RNA (tRNA) molecules are approximately 80 nucleotides in length. Their secondary structure includes four short double-helical elements and three loops (D, anti-codon, and T loops). The record is from Rfam by way of RNAcentral. Lineage: Eukaryota; Metazoa; Arthropoda; Thecostraca; Balanomorpha; Balanidae.
GCCGCCUUAGCUCAGUGGCAGAGCACUGGUCUUGUAAACCAGGGGUCGUGAGUUCAAUCCUCACAGGCGGCA